AUAACUAAAUCUAAGACAGGUGCUGUGCGCGAAAAUGAAGUGGAUUAAAAUUUUAAAACAACUUAAGCAGGAAGUAAAAAGAAGUGAUUUAAACUUAAAAAUAGCUUAAGUGGUGGUCCCGAUUGGACUCGAACCAACGACUUCCACCA
RNAcentral lists this antisense RNA (149 nucleotides) under Campylobacter gracilis RM3268. RNAcentral describes it as "Bacterial antisense RNA HPnc0260". It matches the Rfam family "Bacterial antisense RNA HPnc0260". The record is from Rfam by way of RNAcentral. Lineage: Bacteria; Pseudomonadati; Campylobacterota; Epsilonproteobacteria; Campylobacterales; Campylobacteraceae.